This 28-nucleotide small RNA is filed under the name Bombyx mori (domestic silkworm). RNAcentral describes it as "ovarian small RNA-5421". Lineage: Eukaryota; Metazoa; Arthropoda; Insecta; Lepidoptera; Bombycidae. The record is from RNAcentral.
GGAACUUUUCGGACGGGCGCGGGCCUAU